AACUUAUAGUUCUAUUAGAGAACUUUUCACUUACACUGAAAUAGGUCUUGUGCGAUUCAGGAUUGGUUGAU
RNAcentral lists this transfer RNA (71 nucleotides) under Mnesarete aenea. Its description in RNAcentral is "tRNA-Val". It matches the Rfam family "tRNA". From Rfam's summary of the family: Transfer RNA (tRNA) molecules are approximately 80 nucleotides in length. Lineage: Eukaryota; Metazoa; Arthropoda; Insecta; Odonata; Calopterygidae. The record is from RNAcentral.